This 711-nucleotide long non-coding RNA is filed under the name Mus musculus (house mouse). RNAcentral's name for it is "predicted gene 14010 (Gm14010)". The stretch from base 653 to 698 matches the Rfam family "Histone 3' UTR stem-loop". The record is from RNAcentral. Lineage: Eukaryota; Metazoa; Chordata; Mammalia; Rodentia; Muridae.
AGUCUUCAUCUUUCUGACUGCAAAGGAGCCUGGGAAACAGCCUUUACAGGAAACGUUGUUGUCCCUAACAACAAAGAAGCUGUUGUUGACAGCACAGGAAGAAGAGGAAGGAUCAUCAGAUGAGGAGGAUGCAGAGGACAGAAGGAAGGAACCUCCUCCCCACUGACAGUCUGCAAAGCGUAGGUGAGGCCCUUCUCAUUUGGUGACUGAGGAAUGCGAGAUGGUUGCGUAGUGUAGGUGCCCCAGGAGCCUGGGAGACGGGAAGCAUCCUCCCUGAGUGACUUGACCUCCAUGCAACUUUGGAACAGCAGCUCAGACUCCUCCAAGCUGGGCUUCCUUCCUCCAGGAAGACACACCAGGGAGCCUUCCCUCCUGAAGCUUGUUCCCAAGUCAGGACAGGGCACCUGGUCACAGAUGGCAGCCAAGAAGCUGGUUUCAGAGGCCAGGCUGGUGCCCAGCAUGGAAACAAAGAGCUUCAGCAGCCUUCCUGAAACUAUAAGACAAGUUGGAGAAGGGACACCAGUGCUACGGAUGACGGAACCGAGCAGUGGAAGAGCCGCCUGCCUUGUUGGCUCUCCCAGGACGAAUCACUUCCUGCCCAAGAACAGUACAACUGUGAGAACAGAACCCGUUAGCCGUUUGAGAGCAAGUGAGCUUGGCUCCUUUGGGAGCCACUGAUAUUUAAUAAAUGUUGCUUUAUGUCCAGCUGAA